RNAcentral lists this ribosomal RNA (253 nucleotides) under uncultured bacterium. RNAcentral's name for it is "partial 16S ribosomal RNA". It matches the Rfam family "Bacterial small subunit ribosomal RNA", at positions 524 to 776 of the family's 1533-position model. The record is from RNAcentral.
UACAGAGGGGGCAAGCGUUGUUCGGAAUUACUGGGCGUAAAGGGCGCGUAGGCGGCCUGCUAAGUCGAACGUGAAAUCCCUCGGCUUAACCGGGGAACUGCGUCUGAUACUGGAUGGCUUGAGUGUGGGAGAGGGAUGCGGAAUUCCAGGUGUAGCGGUGAAAUGCGUAGAUAUCUGGAGGAACACCGGUGGCGAAGGCGGCAUCCUGGACCAUUACUGACACUGAAAAGCGAAAGCCAGGGGAGCAAACGGG